Molecule: ribosomal RNA, 540 nt
Filed under: uncultured eukaryote
Lineage: Eukaryota
Description: SSU rRNA
Rfam family: Eukaryotic small subunit ribosomal RNA
Source: RNAcentral
UGUAUUUAUUAGAUAAAAAACCAAUGCCCUUCGGGGCUUUUUGGUGAUUCAUGAUAACUUUACGGAUCGCAUAGCCUUGCGCUGGCGACGGUUCAUUCAAAUUUCUGCCCUAUCAACUUUCGAUGGUAAGGUAUUGGCUUACCAUGGUUUCAACGGGUAACGGGGAAUUAGGGUUCGAUUCCGGAGAGGGAGCCUGAGAAACGGCUACCACAUCCAAGGAAGGCAGCAGGCGCGCAAAUUACCCAAUCCCGACACGGGGAGGUAGUGACAAUAAAUACUGAUACAGGGCUCUUUUGGGUCUUGUAAUUGGAAUGAGUACAAUUUAAAUCCCUUAACGAGGAACAAUUGGAGGGCAAGUCUGGUGCCAGCAGCCGCGGUAAUUCCAGCUCCAAUAGCGUAUAUUAAAGUUGUUGCAGUUAAAAAGCUCGUAGUUGAAACUUGGGCCUGGCUGGCGGGUCCGCCUCACCGCGUGCACUCGUCCGGCCGGGCCUUCCUUCUGAAGAACCUCAUGCCCUUCACUGGGCGUGCUGGGGAACCAGG